AGGGCGCACGGUGGAUGCCUUGGCACUAGAAGCCGAUGAAGGACGUGACUAACGACGAAAUGCUUUGGGGAGCUGUAAGUGAGCAAUGAUCCAGAGAUGUCCGAAUGGGGGAACCCGGCAGGUAAUGCCUGUCACUCAUUACUGUUAAGGUAAUGUAGAGGAAGACGCAGUGAACUGAAACAUCUAAGUAGCUGCAGGAAGAGAAAGCAAAAGCGAUUGCCUUAGUAGCGGCGAGCGAAACGGCAAGAGGGCAAACCGAAGAGUUUACUCUUCGGGGUUGUAGGACUGCAACGUGGACUUAAAGAUUAUAGAAGAACUACCUGGGAAGGUAGGCCAAAGAGAGUAAUAGCCUCGUAUUCGAAAUAGUCUUUAUACCUAGCAGUAUCCUGAGUACGGCGAGACACGAGAAAUCUCGUCGGAAUCUGGGAGGACCAUCUCCCAACCCUAAAUACUCUCUAGUGACCGAUAGUGAACCAGUACCGUGAGGGAAAGGUGAAAAGCACCCCGGGAGGGGAGUGAAAUAGAACCUGAAACCGUGUGCCUACAACAAGUUCGAGCCCGUUAAUGGGUGAGAGCGUGCCUUUUGUAGAAUGAACCGGCGAGUUACGAUAUGAUGCGAGGUUAAGUUGAAGAGACGGAGCCGUAGGGAAACCGAGUCUGAAUAGGGCGCAUUAGUAUUAUGUCGUAGACCCGAAACCAUGUGACCUACCCAUGAGCAGGUUGAAGGUGAGGUAAAACUCACUGGAGGACCGAACCAGGGCACGUUGAAAAGUGCUUGGAUGACUUGUGGGUAGCGGAGAAAUUCCAAACGAACUUGGAGAUAGCUGGUUCUCUCCGAAAUAGCUUUAGGGCUAGCGUCGAUGUUAAGUCUCUUGGAGGUAGAGCACUGUUUGGGUGAGGGGUCCAUCCCGGAUUACCAAUCUCAGAUAAACUCCGAAUGCCAAUGAGAUAUAAUCGGCAGUCAGACUGCGAGUGCUAAGAUCCGUAGUCGAAAGGGAAACAGCCCAGACCACCAGCUAAGGUCCCAAAAUAUAUGUUAAGUGGAAAAGGAUGUGGGGUUGCACAGACAACUAGGAUGUUAGCUUAGAAGCAGCUAUUCAUUCAAAGAGUGCGUAAUAGCUCACUAGUCGAGUGACCCUGCGCCGAAAAUGUACCGGGGCUAAAACAUAUUACCGAAGCUGUGGAUACCUUUAUAGGUAUGGUAGGAGAGCGUUCUAUGUGCGAAGAAGGUGUACCGUGAGGAGUGCUGGAGCGCAUAGAAGUGAGAAUGCCGGUAUGAGUAGCGAAAGACAGGUGAGAAUCCUGUCCACCGUAAGACUAAGGUUUCCAGGGGAAGGCUCGUCCGCCCUGGGUUAGUCGGGACCUAAGGAGAGACCGAAAGGUGUAUCCGAUGGACAACAGGUUGAUAUUCCUGUACUAGAGUAUAUAGUGAUGGAGGGACGCAGUAGGCUAACUAAACCAGACGAUUGGAAGUGUCUGGCCAAGCAGUGAGGUGUGAUAUGAGUCAAAUGCUUAUAUCUUUAACAUUGAGCUGUGAUGGGGAGCGAAGUUUAGUAGCGAAGUUAGUGAUGUCACACUGCCGAGAAAAGCUUCUAGCGUUAAUUAUACUCUACCCGUACCGCAAACCGACACAGGUAGUCGAGGCGAGUAGCCUCAGGUGAGCGAGAGAACUCUCGUUAAGGAACUCGGCAAAAUGGCCCCGUAACUUCGGGAGAAGGGGCGCUGACUGAUGGUCAGCCGCAGUGAAUAGGCCCAAGCAACUGUUUAUCAAAAACACAGCUCUCUGCUAAAUCGUAAGAUGAUGUAUAGGGGGUGACGCCUGCCCGGUGCUGGAAGGUUAAGAGGAGUGCUUAGCGUAAGCGAAGGUAUGAAUUGAAGCCCCAGUAAACGGCGGCCGUAACUAUAACGGUCCUAAGGUAGCGAAAUUCCUUGUCGGGUAAGUUCCGACCCGCACGAAAGGCGUAAUGAUUUGGGCACUGUCUCAACGAGAGACUCGGUGAAAUUUUAGUACCUGUGAAGAUGCAGGUUACCCGCGACAGGACGGAAAGACCCCAUGGAGCUUUACUGUAGUUUGAUAUUGAGUACCUGUAAGUCAUGUACAGGAUAGGUAGGAGCCAUUGAAAUAGGGACGCUAGUUUCUAUUGAGGCGUUGUUGGGAUACUACCCUUGACUUAUGGUUACUCUAACCCGCUGGCAUAAUCGGCCAGGGAGACAGUGUCUGACGGACAGUUUGACUGGGGCGGUCGCCUCCUAAAGAGUAACGGAGGCGCUCAAAGGUUGGCUCAGAUUGGUUGGAAAUCAAUCGUAGAGUGUAAAGGUAAAAGCCAGCUUGACUGCGAGAGCUACAACUCGAGCAGGUAGGAAACUAGGACUUAGUGAUCCGGUGGUACCGCAUGGAAGGGCCAUCGCUCAACGGAUAAAAGCUACCCUGGGGAUAACAGGCUUAUCUCCCCCAAGAGUUCACAUCGACGGGGAGGUUUGGCACCUCGAUGUCGGCUCAUCGCAUCCUGG
This 2511-nucleotide ribosomal RNA is filed under the name human gut metagenome. RNAcentral's name for it is "bacterial LSU rRNA". It matches the Rfam family "Bacterial large subunit ribosomal RNA", at positions 14 to 2550 of the family's 2925-position model. The record is from RNAcentral.